UUUUAGUUUAUUUGAAAAUUUUAAGUUGUGGUCUUAGAGAAUAAAAAG
Molecule: transfer RNA, 48 nt
Filed under: Walchia hayashii
Lineage: Eukaryota; Metazoa; Arthropoda; Arachnida; Trombidiformes; Trombiculidae
Description: tRNA-His
Source: RNAcentral